RNAcentral lists this ribosomal RNA (253 nucleotides) under uncultured bacterium. RNAcentral's name for it is "partial 16S ribosomal RNA". It matches the Rfam family "Bacterial small subunit ribosomal RNA", at positions 524 to 776 of the family's 1533-position model. The record is from RNAcentral.
UACAGAGGGUGCAAGCGUUGUUCGGAAUCAUUGGGCGUAAAGGGCUCGUAGGUGGCCAACUAAGUCAGACGUGAAAUCCCUCGGCUUAACCGGGGAACUGCGUCUGAUACUGGAUGGCUUGAGAUUGGGAGAGGGAUGCGGAAUUCCAGGUGUAGCGGUGAAAUGCGUAGAUAUCUGGAGGAACACCGGUGGCGAAGGCGGCAUCCUGGACCAACACUGACACUGAGGAGCGAAAGCCAGGGGAGCAAACGGG